RNAcentral lists this transfer RNA (69 nucleotides) under Hybognathus nuchalis (Mississippi silvery minnow). Its description in RNAcentral is "tRNA-Ser". Lineage: Eukaryota; Metazoa; Chordata; Actinopteri; Cypriniformes; Leuciscidae. The record is from RNAcentral.
AAGGAAGGAUAGGAAUCAAUAAGUGCUGCUAAUACUUAUGUCCCGAGGUUAAAAUCCUCGGCUUCUUUA